RNAcentral lists this ribosomal RNA (910 nucleotides) under Didymella pinodes (pea foot rot fungus). Its description in RNAcentral is "LSU rRNA". It matches the Rfam family "Eukaryotic large subunit ribosomal RNA", at positions 38 to 964 of the family's 3401-position model. Lineage: Eukaryota; Fungi; Ascomycota; Dothideomycetes; Pleosporales; Didymellaceae. The record is from RNAcentral.
GCAUAUCUAUUAAGCGGGAGGAAAAGAAACCAACAGGGAUUGCCCUAGUAACGGCGAGUGAAGCGGCAACAGCUCAAAUUUGAAAUCUGGCGUCUUCGGCGUCCGAGUUGUAAUUUGCAGAGGGCGCUUUGGCAUUGGCAGCGGUCCAAGUUCCUUGGAACAGGACGUCACAGAGGGUGAGAAUCCCGUACGUGGUCGCUAGCCUUUACCGUGUAAAGCCCCUUCGACGAGUCGAGUUGUUUGGGAAUGCAGCUCUAAAUGGGAGGUAAAUUUCUUCUAAAGCUAAAUACUGGCCAGAGACCGAUAGCGCACAAGUAGAGUGAUCGAAAGAUGAAAAGCACUUUGGAAAGAGAGUUAAAAAGCACGUGAAAUUGUUGAAAGGGAAGCGCUUGCAGCCAGACUUGCCUGUAGUUGCUCAUCCGGGUUUCUACCCGGUGCACUCUUCUAUGGGCAGGCCAGCAUCAGUUUGGGCGGUUGGAUAAAGGUCUCUGUCAUGUACCUCUCUUCGGGGAGAACUUAUAGGGGAGACGUCAUGCAACCAGCCUGGACUGAGGUCCGCGCAUCUGCUAGGAUGCUGGCGUAAUGGCUGUAAGCGGCCCGUCUUGAAACACGGACCAAGGAGUCUAACAUCUAUGCGAGUGUUUGGGUGUCAAGCCCGAGCGCGUAAUGAAAGUGAACGGAGGUGGGAACCUUUCGGGGUGCACCAUCGACCGAUCCUGAUGUCUUCGGAUGGAUUUGAGUAAGAGCAUAGCUGUUGGGACCCGAAAGAUGGUGAACUAUGCUUGAAUAGGGUGAAGCCAGAGGAAACUCUGGUGGAGGCUCGCAGCGGUUCUGACGUGCAAAUCGAUCGUCAAAUUUGGGCAUAGGGGCGAAAGACUAAUCGAACUAUCUAGUAGCUGGGUUCCUGCGA